CCAAUAUCCAAUAGGAAAGAUCCGCGUUCCGAAGAGCGGCUGUUGUGCUGCUCUGGGCUCGCUUCCCAUUGGGCGGUUACCGAACUAAGGAGGUGAAGAUGGCGGCGUGAGAGGAAGAAGUGAAGCGNGAGCCGAGGGCUGCGGCCCAGGGCCCUUACCUGAGGUUAAUUCAUUCAACAUCUUGAUUGGCAGCCAGAGCAAGAAGAUUGCAUAAUCAGAAAGCUAGAAGCAAAGAUCNUUAGUGACAUUUAAUUUGUCAGCCAUGAAUAAAUGAGGAAACUUACUGUGGUUUCAGUCAAAAAAUGAGGAGCUGAGAAAUUGCAAUGGACUUGGGCCAAAUGAAGUUCUUACCUGUCAGCCCAAUAAAGGCUGAU
This 374-nucleotide long non-coding RNA is filed under the name Salvator merianae (Argentine black and white tegu). Its description in RNAcentral is "lncRNA (ENSSMRG00000015480.1)". Lineage: Eukaryota; Metazoa; Chordata; Lepidosauria; Squamata; Teiidae. The record is from RNAcentral.